RNAcentral lists this non-coding RNA (126 nucleotides) under Vulpes vulpes (red fox). RNAcentral describes it as "U4atac minor spliceosomal RNA (ENSVVUG00000027543.1)". It matches the Rfam family "U4atac minor spliceosomal RNA". From Rfam's summary of the family: U4atac is an essential component of the minor U12-type spliceosome complex which is required for removal of the rarer class of eukaryotic introns (AT-AC, U12-type). These interacting stem loops have been shown to be required for in vivo splicing. Lineage: Eukaryota; Metazoa; Chordata; Mammalia; Carnivora; Canidae. The record is from Rfam by way of RNAcentral.
ACCAUCCUUUUCUUGGGGUUGCGCUACUGUCCAAUGAGCGCGUAGCGAGGGCAGUACUGCUGACGCCUGCACAACACGCCCGCACCGGCUAAGGCUCCGCCUUAUCUCGGUGCAAUUUUUGGAAAA